CCAAGUCAGAGUAGAUACUUAGAGCUUUGAAAUUUCAACUUGCCGGUGAGGCGUGUGCGGUUGAGGUUUAAAUUGCCAGAGAAAGUGGUCAGUCUUGCUGUUGCUUCAACAAAUCCUCUCAAACGACCCCCCUUUGACUUGAGUAGGCGUAGUGGUCAAGUUGACUGGCUGGUGGCGAGACCGGCCUGUGGUUGAGGGGAUUAGAGGGAGCACGAGAGGGGCGCGCCCAUGUUCGCCCCCUGCUCGGGCUGGGGGUUCGGCCGCCUCCGGCUCAGCCAGCUCCGAGUUGGGGCCGGCAGAGCUGCGGGUAGCUGGGCGUGUUGGACUGGUUCGGCCCGAGAGUACGGCUCAGGUGGGGGCCAGCGCCAGCGCCAGCCUGGGUCCGAGCCCACAGUCUCUCGGCCGGGGCUUGCGCGCCAGGCUCUGAAGGAGUGGGUGCUGCUAGUGAGCCCGUUCGGUCGGCUGCGGGCGCGGCUUCCGUGCCAUUUGGCCGUGAGGCCCCUGGACCCCCUCACCUACCCCGACGGUGACCGCGUGCUGGUCGCGGUGAGAUCAGCGGAAGGCGGGGCGCGGGGCCUGGCCGGCUUGCAGGUGAAAUACGACGAGGCGCUGAAGGAGGUAACCAUCGUGUCUGACACCAUCGACCCCCAGGCGUCCGUGGAGGUGAACGCGCCCCUGAAGUUUGAUUUGAAUAUCAAGUCAUCAGGGUCUGGCUGUGUAAAAGUCCAAAAUAUUGAGUGUGAUAAUUGCAAAAUUGAAACUGAGCAGGGGACUGGCAUCUUACAGUCUGUUAAGAGUCAAAAAAUACAUGUUCAAACAAAAGGAGGCAAAGUGAUCUGUCUGGGAACAGUUUAUGGAAAUAUAAAUAUUCAUGCAUCAGAUAAAAGUACUGUGACCAUAGAUAAACUGCAGGGAAGUACAGUUAAUAUAUCUACUGAAGAUGGUUUGCUGGAAGCCAAGUAUCUUUAUACAGAAUCAUCAUUUCUGUCUUCUGCUGCUGGGGAUAUUACAUUAGGAAGUGUUCAUGGCAAUAUAACAUUACACAGCAACAUGGGCAACAUCACAGUAGAUUCAUCCUCUGGAUGUCUAAAGGCCUCAACUCAUCUGGGUGCAAUAGAUGUUUACGUCAGCCAACUAGGGAAAGUGGAGUUAAAAUCUCAUGAAGGCUCUAUUCUUGUCAAGGUCGCAUCUUCUCUUCAAGCUCGUUUAGAGUUAUCAGGGAAAGAGGUUGACGUGAACUCAGAACUCCACAUUCAAGAAAUGGCUGAAGCUCAUAAAGAUGAUGGUGUAAUAAUUACUGCCUGCAGAAAAGAACCAGACCUUCAAGAAUUGGUCAAGAAUUUUCAUUUUGAAGACUUUACAGGUAACUUCAUCAGGUUCAUACUUACAUGGAAAUAAGUCUGCAGUAUUGCAUCUUAAGAAUCCGGAGUUGUUUGCAGCCUAUCUGAAGGUCCUCGAGCAUUUGGUCAGUAAGCAGGACACAACCAGAAAUAUCCAAAAUGUGCAGAACUGAGGGAAGGACCUGGGCUGUUGGAUCACUGGAUGCCAUCAGGAUGACUCCAGAGCCAGCAUCCAUGAAUCCAGAAGCAAUGUUCCAGACUUGCAGUUUCCAGUCUGUCCUGAGAGUUUGGAACUUAUCACUUCUAUCCUCAAAAGAAGAAAAAAGACAAAAGACUGAAGCUGGAAGAAGUAAUUAAAACCAGAUCCUAAGUCAGUACAUCUGAGACUCCAGACACUUAAUCUGCAUGUGCUGCGGUUUCCAGUUAAACACUAAAAUGAGAUGGGUGGUCUCUUGAAAGUGUAUCAUCAGAUGAAGACAUUCAGCUGUAAGCACUCCUACUCCAGCUUGGAGAAUAGCUGAGAAAAUGUGGAUUGAAGAAGCCGUAAGUGUUUGGUUGAAAGGAAGGAAAUGCGGAUCCACACAGAGGAGAAAUCUCAUCAGUACUCAAGAAGAAACCCUUCAGUAAGGUUGGUUCCUCCUAAGCAACUAACGAACUCCAUUUGGGAAAAGACCUGUUAAAUGAACUAGCCAUGAGAACCCUCACUAGGAAAAAUAGCCCUUAAGUGUUCCCGUGAAUUCAUUUAAUCUUAUAAGGGACCAUGAUUCCAAUUAUCCUGACAGUCUCCUUGCCUUUCCGUAUAACCAGCCUGGGGUCAGUGCCCCUUAAUUGUGUUACCACAGAACUCUGUACUUCCCUGCACUUGGGCUCCUGCCUUUCAUGUUUAUUCUACUAACCAAUGAGCACCUUGAGGAGAGAGUCUCGCACAUUCUAAUAAUCAGUAUUUCUUAAACAACAUUUAACUGAAUGACUCAUUACCUUAUACAAUUUGCCAAAUUCAACACAGUUAGUUGCUUCAAAGGUGAAAGUGACUUAAGGCUACUAUCUGUUAAUCUCUUGCAGUCUGCCAUGUAAAUGUGACUGAUAUUUGGAUAAUUCUUAUCUAUAAAUUUGAAGCACACAUCAGUAAUCCUUUUAUUUCCUGUUUAAAAAAACCAGAAAACAAGUAUUGUAUUUGUAAUGCCACAAGAGUAAAAGUAAACAUUAAUGCUGAACCCCAUUUUUAAUAUCACAGACCUUCAAAUCGGAUCUUUCUGAGGUUACACGUAGAAAGAGCUUUAAAAGCACAAUCAGAGAUAUGUGGAGCGCCGAUGAAAACUAUUGAUGUAAUACGAGGGCACCUUUCAACUAAAGCCUUUAGAAGAAGAAAAGAUGAUAAAAUUUACCACAGUGUAUAGAACAAGCUUAGCAAAGUAAUGAGGUUAUUUGUUUUUCUCCAUACUUUCAGAAGCAGACAUAUUAACCAUUACAUUUUCCUAAUUUCAAAGACAAUGGGAUUUUUAUUCAAUAUAUUUUAGUACAUUCACAUUUGAGUACUGCAGAGAAAUCAGAAUUAAAUCAUGUUACAAAGGUAUGGGAAAACAUGAGAAAAUGAAAUGCUGACAAAAAAAUCACUACAUUUAGAAGUCUGACAUGUAGCACUAAAGUCAACAUUUAUGCUUAGGCUAUAGUAUCUUUGAGACAAAAAUAUUCCAAUUGUGAAACAAAGUGUAUUAGGGCAUGUAUGGAUUCAAAUGUUCAACUGUAUGUGCGUGUAUAAGUUUUAAGAUGAUUUUCUUACUCUAAAAACAGCUAACUUGAAAAUCCCAUUCAUAUUUCUCAACAAUUCAGGCCACUAGAAAAUGUGUGCAUUAAUUGGGACUGAGAAGAAAAUGUACUUUGCAACUACCUACUUUUAUACAGUUGUCCGUCAGAGUUGGCAUGUCGUUGAUGGUCAGAUGCAUAAUUCCAGUGCAGCUGUUUGCAAUGUUCCUGAAGCCUUGGACUGAAAUCUGAAUCGUACAAAGUAGGUGAAAAUGAUGGUAGAACUCAUUAGCAUGACAGCUAAUAAAACCCGAAUGAAGUCGUAAGCAAAGGUAUGUCAUGAUGUUGCUACUAUAUUUUAAAAUUGGAACCAUAAAAUAUGACAGACAUAAGAGGUAAAGAAUCUAGUCUUGAUUUCCUUACUAUUUAAUUUCUUAUAUGUAUAUUAUGCAAUGAUCAUCACAAUUGGUCUAGUUAACUUAUUGUUUAAUUGUUUUAUUGAGGCAAAAUUCACAUAACGUAAAAUUAAUCACUUAAAUGGGCCCUUAACCAUUCAUGAUCUUAUGCAACCACAACCUCUAUAUGGUUCCAAAAUAUUUUUAUCACCCUAAAAGGAAACUGAAUCUAUUAAGCAGUUGCUCCUUAUACUCCCCUUCUCCUAGCCCCCAGCAAUCAUUAUUCUGGGUUCUGUCUCUGUGGAUUUACCUAUUCUAAAUAUUUCACAGAAGUAGAAUCAUAUAGUAUAUGGCCUUUUGUGUCUUCUCUCUUUCACUUAGCGUAAUGUUUUUGAGGUUCAUCCAUGGUGUAGCAUGUAUCAGUACCUUAUUCAUUUUUAUGGCUGAAUAAUAUUCUAUUGAAUGAAUAUACGGCAUUUUGUUCAUCCAUCCAUCUAUUGAUGGAUAUUUGAGCUGUUUCCAUCUUUUGGAUAUUUUGAACAGUGCUGCUAUGAACAUAUAUGUGCAUCUAUUUGUUUGAGUACCAGUUUUCAAUUCUUUUGGGUAUAUAUGUAGGAGUGGAAUUGCUGGACCCUAUGGUAAUUCUGUUUAACUGUUUUAAGGAACCACCAAAAUGUUUUUUACAGUGAUUGCACCAUUUUACGUUCCAACCAGCAAUCUAAUAGUGUUCCCACUUCUCCACAUCUUUGCCAACAUUAUUUUUCAUUUUCCCAUGUUUUUAUUUUUUUUAAGUUUUUAUUUAUUUAUUUUGAGAGAGAGAGUGCACAAGUUAGGGAGGGGCAGAGAGAGAGAAUCCCAAGCAGACUCUGGGCUGUCAGUGCAGAGCCGACAUGGGGCUUGAACUCACAAACCGUGAGAUCAUGACCUGAGCCAAAAUCAAGAGUCAGAUGCUCAACCAACUGAGCCACGCAGGCACAAUGCAUGGCCACAUUUUUAUCCAUAUCAGCAUCUUUGAGAUUAUCCACCCUAUCUGGCACCACUAAGUGCCUGAACGAGGCAUAACGAAAAAGAAAGCUUUAAGAUUUUAUUGUUGCUUCACAUUGCUAAGUUAAAACAGAAACCCUCAAGCCCUUAAAGUUCUGAUCCAAAAUACUUAAUAAAGGAAUUUCAGUUUCUUAAAGUUAAAUAACUAAAUUAGGAGGGGAAACAUUCCAUUUUUAAAUGCAUGUGAAUGAGUAUUAUUUAACUUGUGUAGCUGUGUGAGAAAGUGUUUUCAGCCCUGUUAGAGUUCUCAUAGAGUGAAUGUGAUUGUACCAUGUUAUGGAAGUCACAGCUCAUAAGUGACUCCUCACAUGUGAUGACAUAUUACAAAAUGCCUGGAGGUGGGAAUAGCAGAAGAGACAGGCUAUCUCAUAAGGAUCUUGGACUUCUCUUAUAGACUGAGGUAGCCUCCAGGAGAUAAGGAAACAAAGUAUCAGGUUCCUUGAUCAGUUUUCUCCAGAUUAUAAAUUGACAGAACAAGAACACAGAUGUUCAAACUCUUAAUCCAAUGUUCCUUCUGAUGAACAUUCUUCAACAAUAACAUCCAUUUCAACUGUCCCACCCCACAUGCCAUAGUUCUUUAGACCUAGCUGCUCCAGCCAGAAAGACAUCUUACUUCUCCAGUACUCAGUGGACCUCUCUGUUCUUUGUCUGACCUUGUACCUCCCUUUGCCUCUUUCUCUUUUCAUCUAUUCAAGCCUUAACUAUGUCUCAAGUUCCAAUGACUCCAGCUACUUUCCUUCUCUUUCCCUUAUAAGCCUAAAACUCUUUAUUUUAGCCAUAACUCUUUCCUAUAACCUGCGUGUCUUAAUUCCCCCAAGGGGAUGAUCUUACACUCUUUUUUAACUUCUUACUGUGUUGGACAACUAUCUGUGGCUAAAUGAAUUAAAUUUAGGAGUAAGACAAAUAACGUCUAGGAAAGAGUACAGAAUUUGGCUACAGACAAAACCAAAAACAAUUCCAAGUCGAAGGUAAAGCACAAAAGUGAAAGGAAAGCAGGGGGAGCACUGGACUUGGAUGAAGUGGCAAGGUCACCCCUGGGAUGAAUAGGAAAAGGUAAGGAGGGAGGGAAAGCUAAUGGAAGACCCAUAAGGCAAGAGUGAGAUAUUUUGUAUUGUACUGUCAUGGAUUCUUGAAUAAGUUUCCAUAAGUAUUCCCACAGAAAGGUCCAGGGGAGAUGAAUGAACAUUAAAAAUCUGGAGAUCAGAGGAGGGAAGAAUGUUGGGCUUAGAAUCAGCAGAGCUGGGUUGGAAUCCGGCUCUGUUUCUUUGUCACUUGUAACACAAGGCAACUCAACCUCUCUGACACCUAGUCUUCCCAUCUGUAAAGUGGGCAUUAUCAUAUGGGUAUAUUAUUAAUAAUUCUAAUUAAUAUUGAUAUAAUAAUGGUAAUUGAUAAUGUAAUGGUUCAUUAAUUAUAAUUACUAAUAACAUCUGUUUUAGGAGAUACUUGGGAAAACAAAAUGGGGUAGUGUGUAUGUAAAAGUGGUCAGUUAGCACAAUGUCCGGCAUGAAAUACUAGAUACCAGUUUUCUUAUUAGUGUUCUUCUGGGUGCAUUGUGUUCCCACAGAGAAGUACAGAUUCGUGACCUAGAGAUAGAGGAGCUUGAGAGAUCAUUCUAGUGCAUCCCUCACAUUGCAAACAUAAAGAAAUAGUAUUCAGAGAAGUAGUGUGAUUUGAGAACAGGUUCUUUAUCUGUUCUUCAUGUCCCCAAUGUCCCCAGUGCUGGACAGUGUCAGACAGAGUGAGUGCUCCAUAAGUGCUGAAUGAAUGAAUGAAUGAAUGGUCUUGAGUCACAUCAUCUAUGGCAGAGUGAAGGCUAGAGGCCACCUCUCCCCAUCUGACCCACAAUUCCGGGGAUGGGAAUAGUUGGGUUUUUUUAAUAUGAAAUUUAUUGUCAAAUUGGUUUCCAUACAACACCCAGUGCUCAUCCCAACAGGUGCCCUCCUCAGUGCCCAUCACCCACCCUCCCCUCCCUCCCACCCCCAUCAGCUCUCAGUUUGUUCUCAGUUUUUAAGAGUCUCUUAUGGGAAUAGUUGUUUUUUACAACACUUCUAAAUUUCUCCCCUUUCUCUCAGCCCUGGUCUAUUACCCUAGCACUAUUAUUUCCAAUAAUGGCUUCCCCUAAAACACAAGAUAAAAAAAAUAAAAAAAUAAAAAAAACCUUUUCUCUCUUGCUGUCUUGGAAACAUAUUUAUGACAAGAUUUUCUGAACAAGGGAAAAAAUUAUAGCAGUAAUCAGCCACAGCUGAGUGAUUCCUUGCAGCACAGCCAAACGCUUGGUGCUAUCAACCAAUAAGACUGUGUCCAGAAAAGGGGUGGGGGAAACCUCUAAGAAGAGCUUUUUAGUUUUGUCCUGGCAUGAAAUGCUUAGUUCUCUACACAGUUUAUUUUAGAAUGUCCAAAAAGAUGCUUGGCUAAUACUUUAUGACUCAAAUAUUCUCGCCACAGUCUUUUAGGCCAACCAACUAUUAACUUGUCCUUUCUCUUCACUGAAAUAAUGGGAAUAUAAGCCUGAAAGUAACAAUCCCCCUCGAAGGGGAAAAAAAUAUUUUACCAUGUUAAAACACCAGGCUUUGCCACAGCUGAUACAUGUGUAUCGUGUGUUUAAUAUUCUUACAAAACUUGGGAUCUAAUCUCACUGUGUUUCCUUGCGAGGUGAUUUGGACUUCAGUUUUGAUACCAACUGGAGCCCUGCUACCCUGCUCUUUGCUGUCAAACCCCCGUUGGUUAGGAAAUUGGGGGAGCUGGCCACACCGAUGCCAUCAUAAUCGCAAGUCCCAGCAGACAGCUACUGCUGCUAAUGGGGGCAGAGAAGCUUUGGUGAUCAUAGGAAAUCCUCUCCAGCUGCCUCUGGGUGGGUCUGAACCCAUGAGCAGGACAGGACAGAGCUGUCUGAGGAGGAAAUGAGUUGUCAGUGAGCCACACGAAAUGAAGACCAAAGCGUUGAGCACCAAGGACUAGCUCACAUCCCGCUUUGCUGCUGCAAGGUGGUAAAAAGAAGGAAGGAACUUAUCUCAGGGAGAAUAACAUAUUACUAAGCUUCCACUUUCCACUUCUUUAAAACACUGAACCAGUUAGCUCAGCAACACAGAAAGGAGAUGUAUAUAGGGCCAGAGCCUCUACGACAGCUAGAAAUAUCCAUCUUAGGUAGACAUUGCCCAAGUUGUGUUCCUGUACCAUUUCCAGCUGUUUCUCUCAUUUGAACAACACUGUAACCCAUGACUAAUGGGUAAUGUAAUGACUUUAGUCAUAUCCAUAUAUCCUUCAUGACCUCCUGGUGACCUCAGAGAAGCCUGGCUUAGCAAGUAGAAUGAAUUUUUGGAGAGAAAGACAAAGAUUUUUCCCCAAAACAUGGAACACUUUGUUUUAUUCCAUUCAAAUGUGCCACAAACUUCUAAAAUAGCAACAGUUCCCAGGGUCUGUGCUAAAAGGGCCUGACAGGCUUUUAUAUAUUGUGUCCUCUGUGAUGACAAGAAGAGAGGCCUCGUUAUAACUGCUUAGAUGAUGCUUUACUUUCCAGUCUAUAUAUUCUUCAUGGCUAUCCCCUCCUCUAUGUUUGCUAAUGUGCUUCUCCUAGGUAGCCCUCCCUGACCACUUCAGGUAGAACUGUUUCUUCCUCUUGGAUCUCAGAGCACCGAACAGUAUAGCCUUAAAUUUGAAUUUCGUAUCCUCUCCCUUGUAUAAUAAUUAUGUGUACACAUGUUUACCAUUCCUGCCCAGGAACACAGACAGAAUUUUCUCCACCAUGCCCUUCACAGUACCACACAAGUGCUUGGCACUGAGUAUGAUACUACAACUGUUAGUAGACCAAGUCGUUGUUGAAUAAACUGUUGUAGAAUGUAAAUGAGAAUUAAUAGUUCUAAGGCGGGGGAAGGGUAAUAAUCAAUAUGGUCAUUUGUUAAAGAUUGCUGUAUUUAUCUAAAAACAUUGAAAUGCCAAACAUAAAAAAGAAAGUUUCAUUUUCCGACGUGAGUGGGGAAUUAGAAUACAAGAUUAGUGAAGCCUCCAGAUGCCAGGAAGGCAUGCAUGCCAACUCCGUGCACUCACUGCACAAUGACUGUGAGCUGUGACCUGCCGAAGUAGGCUUGACCCUUCUUACACUUCAUCAUUCUUGUUUAGCGUACACCAUCUUCUUCUUUUCCUCACCCAAUGGCCAAAUUGCUCACAGCAACUCCUGUACGAUAAAUGGAGCUUCAUCUCCCUUUUAACCAAGAGAAUCACAACCAUAAUACUUUUUAUUACAACACAAUGAUCCACAGAGCUACUUGAUUUGUCUAGACUUAUUGAGCUAGAUGGUGGUUUUAUAGCUACCAUUGUAACCAUAGGCUUCACUGGGGGCCCAAGACCCAAGUAGAGUUUUGUGAAGAGUUGAUGAAAUUCUGUAUGUAAGUCACAUCCUAAGAGAGGGAGCAGAGAAGAAACUGAAAGAAGGAUGGUUUUUCAGAAAGCCCUAAAGUUUUUUCCAAACCUUUUUUUAGGAGUGCGAAACAUGAUCUUAGUCCCCUAAGGCUCAUCAUUUUGUCAUCUGAUUCUUCAAGAUCUAAAAAUUGUUGCCAGAUGUUUCAUUUGUUACUGCUUAAUGUAAUAAACAUCCUUAUACAUUUUGCCUACAAAGAGAUUGCAUUAAGCUAUGGACGUUAACAGUAGAUGUUUGUUAUAUUUCUUUAUUUUUUAUUUUCAAUAUGGCUAACAUAAAGUUAUAUUCAAACUCGUAACAACCAUUUAAAUUUAGAUGAGCCCUGUCUACAAGAUAUGUAAAAUGAUUUUCCUGUUCAACACAGUUCAAAGUAUAAUUCAGAAAGGUCAUAAAGCAUUCCUUUAACAGGGAAACUGAGGCACAAGACCUGACUGAGAAAAGCAGAAAUUGCACUGUGGUUUUUCUGAUUCAUGACUGAUUUUCCACUAGAACCCCUUCAUAUUAAUGACAUUUAAGACCACAAAAUAUUUUUUUCAAAUAGAAAAAAAGUGCAACUUUUUUUUUCUUUUUUACUGUAUGCAGUAUAUAGCACUUCACAGUUUUACAAAUGAUAGUCUAGUUGUAUAGAGCCUGGUAUUCAGGAUUAGUCAGAUCAAGGUUAUCAUUUUGGCCCGGACACUUUUUGUGUGACCUUAGGCAAGUUACUUUAUCUUAGCACCAUUUUCAAUAGUGUGUGGGGCCAGUUUAUACUAGUUUGCAAGUGCAAGUUGUUAAAUUUGUAGGAACUCUGCAAGCCUAUUGUUAAAGACAGUCAUAUUAAAAAUUAAGUCAUAUAAACUUAAAAUUAAAAUUAAAUAAGUUCUAUUAACAAAGGUAGUGAAUAUUCCAAUUCAUCAAUUCCUAAUUAUGUUAUUACAUGUUACCAUUUCGUAUGCUCUUGAGGAUAUUUGUGUGUGUUGGAUGUAUACAGCGAAAGCAUUACAUAACAGUUACAUAACAUUACAUAACUCUUUCUUCAGUGACUUCUCAUUGGCAAGUUGAAAUAGGUCAUGGUGAGAGUAUUUACACCAUGGAAAUCAGCAACCAUUGCAAAUCAGGGCUUUCUCUGCUUCCUGCCAGUUGUUAAAUGUUUACCAGCACAUGAUUUUUCAGUUUUCACAUCUCUAAAAUGGGAAUAAUGAUACCUACCUCAUACAGUUAUGUAUAAAGAUUAAAUCAGAUAAUAAAUGUAAAACACUUACCUCAACACCUAGCACCAAGUCGGUACCCAAACAAAUGAUAGCAAUUAUUAUCACCAUCCAUUAAAAUACAGAAUAAGGGAAAAUGGAAUCAAACAAAUGUAAAUGAAUCAUAAUUUUGAAUUAACUGUUGACAAUUCAUUUUGGUACAUAGUCUGCUUAUUCAUUACUGGUUUAGCUGGUCACACAACUCUUAUUGUUCCAAUUGCCCCUUAUUGGUAACCUAGCAAAUCUGUACCUCCACUCUCAGCUCUGUGCCAAGGACCAGACUUCUAUACAGAAACACAAAAUUCUCAAGCUGAAAAGGAUCUCAGAGAUCAUCCAGCCCAAACUAGCCAUUCUACAGAUAAAGGAACUGAGGCAGAAAAGCUAAGUAACCUAUCAGAGUUGCACAAGAGGGUAGUGGCACAGCAAGGACUAGAUCCCAGGUGUCCCAAGUCCAGCUUGGGGCUCCUUUCACCAUCCCACUGCCUUCUGCUGCAGGAGAGAGAGAAAGAAAGAGAAAUCCCUUUCCACUCUUACUUUGCUUAUGCAAUCUCCUUUCCAUUUGGCCAGUACAUUCAUUCCUGGACAUGCCUCUGUGUCUUUCUCCCACCUCCACCACAAUCCCCAGAGGUGAACAAGUAAAACCUUCCAUGAUCUUUGCCUUUCUAGAAGGGGAGUCUGUAAUUUAUGUAGCCUAGAGAGAACUGAAAUGACCUUGGAAUCUUCCUGUUUGCAGUUUGCACAGCCUACCUUUAAGAUCCAUGGGUCCCAGAGAGACUUAACAGUACAAGAACUACUGAUAAACCAUUAUUAUUGUGUUGAGUCAUUUGAACAUUUCUGGGAUGCUGUCCCUUUUCAUUUUUGUUGACUUGGGUGUAGUGACUAAAAAAUAAUUGAUGAAAAAAUACUUUCACUGUAGUAUUUCAUAUUUUCCUAAGCUCUUUUCUUCCCCUAAAUCUAAAGCAAUGUGAAAUUCCCCCCUUACCAAGAAAAGACUAUCAGACUUUGCUCUGGCAAGUUGCUAACUUCUCAGCUUCCUAACAGACUUCUUGAGCUUCCACCUGAAGCAUCUGGCUGGCCACACCCUGAAAUUGGCUGCCAUUUAUUUCGUUCAUUCAUUCACUUGUUCAUUAAACGUUGAUCAAAGUCCUACUCCUACUACAUGCAAGGUACUUACUGUAUUAUGUGCUGAGGAUAACAAAUACACAGAUAAAUAAGGCACCAUCCUGGCCAUCAAGGAGGCCAUGAUGGGGAGGACAGCAGACAAAUAAGCAAACCACUGAAUAUGUAGAGAAUGCUUAGUGAAAGUACAAUAAUAAAAGAACAAACAGGAAGGAUCAUAACCUAGCUUGAGUUGGGGGAAAAGGAGGGGGUCAGUGAGAGCUUCCUAGAGAAAGAAGGUUGUGAUUGAACAAAGCCUCAAAGGAUGCAUAAAAGCUAAUCUGGUGAAUGGGAGAAAGGGACAAUAUGAGGAUCACUCUAGAUGCUGGGUUGAGAGUAGACUUGUAGGAGGCAGAAGUGAAAGCAGAGAGACCAAUUAGGAAGUCGUCAUAAUCAGUGCCAAAAUGGCCAGUGCCAGACACCCCAAGGCAAGAGCUCAUGUGUUGAAAGAACAGAAAGGAAACCAGUGUGCCCGGAACAGACUUGGUAAGUGGCAGACCAGUAGGAAUUAAUGCCAGAAGGGCAGUUGGGGGAGAAGACAGAUUACAUAGGGUCUUGAAGUUCCUUCCAAGGUUUUUCUUUUAAUGAGUGGGUAGGAUGCCUCACCAGGUGUUUGAGAAGAGGAAGGACAUUGACUUGGGCAGAGGGUACAAGGUGAGCCUAAUAAAACAACUGAGGCUGGAAGUGAAGAACAGGGGAGGCACAGAGGCAAAAGCUUCUAUUGCAAGCUCUCUUAUUCUUUUGUUUAACUCUCAUAUCUGAAAAUAUAAAUCUGAAUCUUGGCCUUCACCUGGCUCUGUCUCUCACUCUAUGUUCAGGGUUGUUGGUUUCUGGGCAUUUGGGUUUCAGGCUGAGAUUGGCUACAACCCUAGCCUUCCUUCCCAGCAUAGCUGUCGUUGUUCUGUGCUUGGCUUCCUACACAGUGUCAUAACCCAUGGCUACAUGCAUUUGGGGAUACAUAAAUCAGUAGGAGAAGUGGCCACCCAAAGAUAAUACCAACAGGAGAAUCCUUGGAUUUACAAACAGACAAAGGAUAAAGGGAAAGCAUAACCAGCAAUCACUGCCCUUCUCAUAGGGACUUUCUCAUGUAAAACUAGGAAAGCUUUGUCUUCUCCAUUAAAAUUUUUCAUCCUACCCAUAUUUUCUAUUUUGAGAUUUUCAAAGAAACAAGAACUUUUGGAGAGUACUGAAAUUAACAGGGAGUGAUGUAGAUAUCUUAAGAGCAUUUUAGCUGAUACCUUUUUAUCUACUCAUUCAUCAUGGGGGCAUGUGAGGAAACUCUCAAAGGAGGGGAGGAAGUUAGCCAUACAGAUAGCUGCAGAAGGACUAUUCCAGGCAAGGAAAAUGGCCAGUGUCCAGUAGCAAAUACCCUGACGCAAGAGCUCAUGUGUUGAAAGAACAGCAAGGAAACCAGUGUGACUAGAAUAGACUUGGUAAGUGGGAGAGCAGUAGGAAUUAAUGCCUGAAGGGCAGUUGGGGGAGAAGACAGAUUACAUAGGGUCUUAAAAGUCCUUCCAAGAUGUUUCUUUUAUUGAAUGAAUAGGAUGCCUCGCCAGGUAUUUGAGAAGAGGAAGGACAUUGACUUGGGUUUGAAAAGCCACACUCUAGAUACUGGGUGAGGGGCGCCUGAGUUGCUCAGUCGGUUGGGUGUCUGACUUCAGCUUAGGUCACGAUCUCGCAGUCCGUGAGUUCGAGCCCCGUGUUGGGCUCUGGGCUGAUAGCUCAGAGCCUGGAGCCUGCUUCCGAUUCUGUGUCUCCCUCUCUCUCUGCCCCUCCCCCGUUCAUGCUCUGUCUCUCUCUGUCUCAAAAAUAAAUAAACGUUAAAAAAAUUUUAAAUAGAUACUGGGUGAAAGAAGACUUGCAGGGGGGCAGGAGUGAAAGCAGAGACACCAAUUAGGAGGUCGUCACAAUAAUGCAAGCAAGAGAGGAUGGUGACCUGGGCUGGGGUGGCAGCUGUGGAGGGAGCAAGGAGUGGUCAGAUCCUAGGUGGUUCUGAAGUAACAGUCACUGGACUUCCUGACAGAAUGCAUGUGGGGGUGAGAGAGAAGAGUCCAAGAUAACACACUAGUUUGCUGGGUCUGCUUUAACAGAGCACCACAAACGCAGGGGCUUAAACAACAGAAAUGUGUUGUCCUACAGUUCUGGAGACUAAAAUCUCAAGAUCAAGGUGUCCACAGGGUUGGUUCUUUCUGAGGUUGCUGCCUUUAAUAUGAGGGAAGGAUAUGGUCCAGGUCUCUCCUCAUGGCUUGCAGAUGGCUAUCUUCAUGUUAACAUGGCACUCUCUUGUAUGCAGGUGUCUGUGUCUAAAUGUCC
Molecule: RNA transcript, 13636 nt
Organism: Acinonyx jubatus (cheetah)
Lineage: Eukaryota; Metazoa; Chordata; Mammalia; Carnivora; Felidae
Gene: FAM185A
Gene name: family with sequence similarity 185 member A
Exons: 14
Source: RefSeq, a predicted model, not a curated record